RNAcentral lists this ribosomal RNA (673 nucleotides) under uncultured bacterium. RNAcentral's name for it is "bacterial SSU rRNA". It matches the Rfam family "Bacterial small subunit ribosomal RNA", at positions 75 to 777 of the family's 1533-position model. The record is from RNAcentral.
CUGAGGUUUCGGCCAAAUAUGCUUAGUGGCGGACUGGUGAGUAACGCGUGAGGACCUGCCUUCCAGAGGGGGACAACAGUUGGAAACGACUGCUAAUACCGCAUGACGGGGCAUCCCAAAGAUUUUAUCGCUGGAAGAUGGCCUCGCGUCUGAUUAGCUAGAUGGUGGGGUCACGGCCCACCAUGGCGACGAUCAGUAGCCGGACUGAGAGGUUGACCGGCCACAUUGGGACUGAGAUACGGCCCAGACUCCUACGGGAGGCAGCAGUGGGGAAUAUUGGGCAAUGGACGCAAGUCUGACCCAGCAACGCCGCGUGAAGGAAGAAGGCUUUCGGGUUGUAAACUUCUUUUGUCAGGGAAGAUAGAAGACGGUACCUGACGAAUAAGCCACGGCUAACUACGUGCCAGCAGCCGCGGUAAUACGUAGGUGGCAAGCGUUGUCCGGAUUUACUGGGUGUAAAGGGCGUGCAGCCGGGCCGGCAAGUCAGAUGUGAAAUCUGGAGGCUUAACCUCCAAACUGCAUUUGAAACUGUAGGUCUUGAGUACCGGAGAGGUUAUCGGAAUUCCUUGUGUAGCGGUGAAAUGCGUAGAUAUAAGGAAGAACACCAGUGGCGAAGGCGGAUAACUGGACGGCAACUGACGGUGAGGCGCGAAAGCGUGAGGAGCAAACAGGA